RNAcentral lists this ribosomal RNA (603 nucleotides) under uncultured bacterium. RNAcentral describes it as "bacterial SSU rRNA". It matches the Rfam family "Bacterial small subunit ribosomal RNA", at positions 1 to 623 of the family's 1533-position model. The record is from RNAcentral.
GAUUAGAGUUUGAUCCUGGCUCAGGACGAACGCUGGCGGUGUGCCUCACACAUGCAAGUCGAGCGGAUGUUUAUUAGAAGCUUGCUUUUGAUAAACGUUAGCGGCGGACGGGUGAGUAAUACGUAGGAAUCUGCCUCAAGGAGUGGGGACAACGGGUCGAAAGAUCCGCUAAUACCCCAUAUGCGAGCAAUCGUGAAAGUGAGUAAUCCACCUAGAGAUGAGCCUGCGUCCGAUUAGCUAGUUGGCGGGGUAAAAGCCCACCAAGGCGACGAUCGGUAGUUGGUCUGAGAGGAUGAUCAGCCACAAUGGGACUGAGACACGGCCCAUACUCCUACGGGAGGCAGCAGUGGGGAAUUUUACGCAAUGGGGGAAACCCUGACGUAGCGACACCGCGUGAGCGAAGAAGCCUUUUGGGGUGUAAAGCUCUGUCAGCUGGAACGAACACAAUGACGGUACCAGCAGAGGAAGCAUCGGCUAACUACGUGCCAGCAGCCGCGGUAAAGACGUAGGAUGCAAGCGUUGUCCGGAUUCAUUGGGCGUAAAGAGUUCGUAGGUGGUCUGUUAAGUUUGGUGUUAAACGAGCGGGGCCAAACCCGAUAAGUG